ACCUCAUCAUGCAGAUGGUUUUCCUUUUGUUUUCGCUCAUGGGUGUUGCUUUCGGUCUUGAGGUCCGUCAGUCCCGCUCCGACAUCAUUGUGAAACCUGGAGAAAAAGUUCACAUCUUCUGCACUCACGAGAAAACGGACUACUGGAUAAUGCUCUGGUACCGGCAGCCGCCUGCAGACACAGCUCUGAAACUAAUCGGACAUUUGUACAUGAGCGACAUCAAGAUGGAGGACGAAGACGACCGAAACGUCCAAAUCGAUGGAGACUUGAGCGGCAGCACAGCAAAGAAUUCCUCUCUGGUGAUCAACGUUGUGGAUCCGAAACACUCGGCUGUUUACUACUGCGCAGCACGAGAAGCACACUGAGGAAGAAUCCUGCCUGUGCUUUACAAAAACCUGUUUUAUCACCAUCAUCAGUGGUUUGGCAGAAGAAUUUGGGAAAAAAAACUACUCUCAAGCACCUGCUUCUCUGUUUUGAAUUGAGCGUCUUCAUGCUAAAAAGUGACAUUGUUCUAUUAAAAAAAUUAAGUAAAAAAAAAAAAGAAUCCCAAAAAACAAAACUCACCCAAAGAUAGUAGCUAAUAAAUUAGACCUAAGCUUUACAGAGAACUAGGUUAAUCAAAGUUUAUUUCUAAAGUUUAUUUCUCAAUCUACUAAAAAAAAAAAAAAGUAGAUUGAGAUUACUUUUUCACAAAGGUCCAGGUCAGGUUGAAUUUUUUGUUUCUGGUUAUUCUUGUUUGACACUAAAAUGAGUUUGUCAUGAAUGUAUAAAAUUGUAUUUUGGUUACAGACACAUUUGAGGUGAUUCUAUGUUGUGUUGAAAUUGUUUAAUUGGCUUUUUGAGUUGAAAAGUUAAGGAGCCGCUGCUUCCGUUAAAUCUUGAUGACUAAUACAGGCCUGUUUUUAAGGGUCUAUUCAAAACAUUUCAUUACCUUAUAAAUCACUGAACGGCUCAGCACCAAAAACACAUCGAAGAUCUGUUGUUGUUGUUGUUGUUGUUGUCAUAUCAACCUCCUUAGCUCUUCUGGUUCUGGUUCUGCUCUGCAUCCCCAGAACCAGAACCAAACACGAAGAAGCAGCAUUCAUCUUCUAUGCAUCACGAAUCUGGAACAAACUCCCAGGAAACCGUAUAAAAACAGCUGAAACACUGAGUUAAUUUAAAUCAUUUCUGAUGACGGCAUUUGACAAAAUAUAAUGUUUACUGCUUGUUUCACCCUGAGUGACUGUGUGAAGUUUUUAUGGCGUAAAAGCAAAUUUAAUUGUCUUGCUGCUGAAAUGUGAAAUAUAAAUAAGUUUGACUUAAA
Xiphophorus couchianus (Monterrey platyfish) is the source of this 1303-nucleotide non-coding RNA. The record is from the annotation of a RefSeq genome assembly. NCBI's taxonomy places the organism in Eukaryota, Metazoa, Chordata, Actinopteri, Cyprinodontiformes, Poeciliidae.